RNAcentral lists this long non-coding RNA (2338 nucleotides) under Homo sapiens (human). RNAcentral's name for it is "HSALNT0370584". Lineage: Eukaryota; Metazoa; Chordata; Mammalia; Primates; Hominidae. The record is from RNAcentral.
UCCUCCACUUUCUAUCACCUGCUGGUGCCUCUCAUUGACUACAUCUACUUGCUCUCUUGUCCUGUCUUCCAGGUGAAGACAAGCAGGUGAUCUUCUCUGAACACAGGACAGAGUGAAGAAGUUCUCAGGGAAGGGCUGACCCUCCAAAGAUGUCAUUUCUUACAAGGACAUCUCCACUUUGAUACAUGAAGCUAUCUUUCUCUCCUUGGAUCUGAUUCCUGAACGCUGUCACCAUGUACCAAUGCUCUCAUAUCCUGAUUGAGUUGGAAGAAGGAAGCUUGAGUCCCAGUUACUUCAUGCAAUGGUGUGUGCUGUGCAUCAGGAAGUCUACUGGCCUGUGAGCUGACCUUCUCAUAGUCAACUCACCUUCUGUCCACACACCAUUUGCAUGGAAUCCCCCACACAAAUACCACUAUCAGGAUCCUAACUGGAGAUAGAAUCCAUCUCUGAUUACCCAUAGGCAUGGGCAGGGUUGAGGGAACUAACAAGAAGUUGGCAUGUCCCUCUACAGUCUCAGGGCUUCAUGACCACCCCAACUCUCCCAGAGCUGAGAGGACAGAGAAGUAACCAGUGCUCCUGGGCCUGACUGAGCUGUUAUCAUGGAAGCCGAAGUCAUAAAGGGAAGUGGCCCCUGGCUGGGGAGAAGGCAACUGACUACCCUCCCUCCACUUGUCUUUCCGUCACCUGCUGGUGCCUCUCAUUGACUACAUCUACUCACUCUCUUGCCCUGUCUUCUAGGUGAAGACAAACAGAUGAUCCUCUCUGAGCACAGGACAGAGUGAAAAAUGAUAGGCUAGAUCUCUGGAGGCAAACCAAAUAAUCAGCACACCCACUCAGAGAUCCUGCUGUCAGCCUAUUUUUGGCCUGUGUUCGACUAUAGAGAGGAAGAUUGACCCUUUCUGGUAUCAGAAAUGUAUAUGAUCCUCCCUACCAUUGGAAUCCCCUGCACUAGGGUGGCCCCUGCAUACUUAGAGCCUCUAUUUUUACUGUGGUCUCCCUGCCUUAGUCAUAAGGAGAUUCCCUCCACAUUGUGCCUGAUACAGUUGUCCUAUCCGAUCUCACCACCAUUGCUGCCAUCAUUGAUACUCUCCUGCUGGGGCCUCUUCCUGCUUAAGUUCUUUUCUGUUCUGCUGCUGUGACUGACAUCGACUCUAUACCUCCUGUCCCCACUACUACAUUAAAGCCCCUUGUGGACAAGAGAUCAAAAAUUAAGUGUGAUAUUCUCAAUGCAGUGAGAAUAUUCCUGGUUUUUCUCAGUUCUCACUGGAACGUAGUUCUCCGACUGGUUCUCUGUACAAUUAAAGAAAGCUGCAUGCGAGCAGGCGAAACUAUGGCUUAAAAGGCUGAAGGUGCAGGGAUCUGAACUCAAUUCUGGGACAGCUGCUUCAUUAACAGAAAUUAGCAUCUUGGAAGUAUCUCCUAUCCUAGGGCUUGUUCUUUGUGGAUACAGAAGAUGCCCGGGGAUUCUUUCUACAUCCCUUGGGUUCUUUGCCAUUUUCACAGCCACUGGCUCCCGACACUUUGCCUCUUAACAGCCAGUGCUCUAUCGUUGAAGGAUGGGCCUCAGGCUGCCUUGACUGCACACAUGGAGAAUCAGGUGCUUUUUAACUAACAACUGAAGGAUGCAGGGAAAAUCCCUCAGCUUAAGGCUCUUCCCUGAGGAUGACCAUGGCACUUCCAGCUGCAGGUCUGGGGUGGCUGCUCAUCUCUUGAACCACUGUCCUCCCAGAUCCCUUGUGUACUGCACCCUACCACCCCAAUUUCUCCCUGGGAAGUACAUUGAUUUGUGCUAGCAACUGCUUACUGGAGGACCCAGCUGUUACAGUGGACACUUUCUCUGGAUGUUGGGUGAAACCUAUGUAGGAUUAAAGGAGAGAAAGCAGACAAGGAGAGCCUCAGGUCAUGAUGCAGAUAUAAGGUCUGAAGCCCCAGUGAUGUGCUCCAAAGACUGCUCAAAGCUAUGCUGCAUUGGGCAGAAAUGGCCAGGCACUACUACCCCUACUGUGCUCAGUCAUCAGCUGGAUUUGCUUGGGGAGACCACAGUGACAAGUGCUGCGAUGGAUCCCAAAGGCACUGCAGCUACCUGCCAUCCUACAGCUGAAUGGCAAGGCUUGCCUUGAAAAGCAAUUCAAGCAGCCCAUCUCCAGGGCUGUCACAUGGAGCUCUCUUUAACCCAUCCUUCCCCCUCUGAAUGCUGGGAGAAGCUAAAUGCUGGCAGUCUUCCUCCAGCUUCAAAUCCAAUUAAGUUCACUGGAGAAUCUGGGCAAUGCCUCCAGAUAACAUUCCUACUUCCAGCCUGGACAGUGUCACACAGUAGUAGCCCUCCUACAAAUCUGUG